RNAcentral lists this small RNA (250 nucleotides) under Drosophila virilis. Its description in RNAcentral is "GJ26684". Lineage: Eukaryota; Metazoa; Arthropoda; Insecta; Diptera; Drosophilidae. The record is from RNAcentral.
UUGUAUUCCAUUUAUUUAUUUUUUUGGCUGUUGACAAAAAGUGUGCGAAAGAGAAAGAGAGACAAAAGUGCACUGAAAGCAACGGCAGUUGCUGCGAAGAAGCGCGUAAAGAAAGCCAAAGCAAACGGCAGCUGGUCAAAAUGGAAUGACCAGAGCUGCUUUUGGUGGCCUACACACGUCGUCAUCGUAGCCUACGGAAGAUGCUGCAGCAGGCAGCAGCAACACCAACAGCAGCAGCAACAGCAGCAAC